RNAcentral lists this ribosomal RNA (119 nucleotides) under Pteropus alecto (black flying fox). The record is from RNAcentral. Lineage: Eukaryota; Metazoa; Chordata; Mammalia; Chiroptera; Pteropodidae.
GUCUACGGCCAUACCACCCUGAACAAGCCCGAUCCCAUCUGAUCUCGAAAGCUAAGCAAGGUUGGGCCUGGUUAGUACUUGGAUGGGAGACCACCUAGGAAUACUAGGUGCUGUAGGCG